Portunus trituberculatus (swimming crab) is the source of this 451-nucleotide long non-coding RNA. RefSeq lists it as uncharacterized. NCBI's taxonomy places the organism in Eukaryota, Metazoa, Arthropoda, Malacostraca, Decapoda, Portunidae. The transcript has 2 exons. The record is from RefSeq and is a predicted model, not a curated record.
GAAUAAGAAAUGUUUUUACUAUCUUUACAAGUUCAUUAAUUUCUAGAUAUCAACAUGCCAUUUUUAUCAUUAUCAGAGAGAGAGAGAGAGAGAGAGAGAGAGAGAGAGACAGAGAGAGAGAGAGAGAGAGAGAGAGAGAGAGAGAGAGAGAGAGAGAGAGAGAGAGAGUCACUUUGCUUUUUUUCUUUAUUUCAUUCACCAUCACAAUUUUUUUUUCAUACGCCACAAAAAAUAAUAAUGUGGUUUUAUACAUAACUUUUGCGCGGAAGGGCUGUAGAGGAGGGGGGGGAAGGGGAAGGGGAAGGCGAUAAACGCACGCACGCACGCACACACAGACGCACUCACAAAAGAACCAUUAACUUCCUUCAAGCAUUUUUUUUAAUAUAUAUUUUUUUCUACUGUGGCUGAGUAAAAAAAAUGGGCCUUAUUUUUUUUCUUUCUUUUUUUGUUU